RNAcentral lists this ribosomal RNA (190 nucleotides) under Pratylenchus zeae. RNAcentral's name for it is "partial 18S ribosomal RNA". It matches the Rfam family "Eukaryotic small subunit ribosomal RNA", at positions 1641 to 1830 of the family's 1831-position model. The record is from RNAcentral. Lineage: Eukaryota; Metazoa; Nematoda; Chromadorea; Rhabditida; Pratylenchidae.
UUGAUUACGUCCCUGCCCUUUGUACACACCGCCCGUCGCUGCCCGGGACUGAGCCAUUUCGAGAAACUUGGGGACCGCUGGCUGGCUGCCUCCGGGUGGACUUUUGGUGGAAACCAAUUUAAUCGCAGUGGCUUGAACCGGGCAAAAGUCGUAACAAGGUAGCUGUAGGUGAACCUGCUGCUGGAUCAUU